This 15567-nucleotide long non-coding RNA is filed under the name Lynx pardinus (Iberian lynx). Lineage: Eukaryota; Metazoa; Chordata; Mammalia; Carnivora; Felidae. The record is from RNAcentral.
UACAGUGUUUCUGGAUGCAUUCUAGGAAGAUUUUUCCUUAAAGGAGAAAGCCAUAUGGUCUAUAACAUAAAACUACUCCAUUCCCGCUUCCACCCCCAGAGAGAGGAGGGGCAGGGAAGAGGGGAGGCAGAUUCUGGCUGUAUUUCCUUUCUUUGUUUCUAUUUCUUUCUUUCUUUCUUUCUUUCUUUCUUUCUUUCUUUCUUUCUUUCUUUCUUUAAGUUUAUUUAUUUUGAGAGGGAAAGAGUGCUCGAGGGGGAGGGGCAGAGAGAGGGGGAGGGCCAGAGAGAGGAAUUCAGAGAGACAGAGAGAGAGGGAGAGAGAGAGAGACAGAGAGGGAAAGAAUCCCAAGCAGGCUCCACACUGUCAGCGAGGGUUGGGGGGAUUCCAACUUACUAACCGCGAGAUCAUGACCUGAGCCGAAGUCAAGAGUCAGACACUUAACUGACUGAACCACCCAGGUGCCCUGGCUGUAUUUUCAAGUUUGUGCUCCAGGCAGUGCUGCAGAGCCAAAGACUUCUCCCUGGUCUGCCUGCCAGUUGUUAGUCCUCCAUUUCUCUUCUUUUUCCAGCCAAGCCCCAGGCCUUUACCUGGGGAAUGGAGGGAGAAGGGCCAACAACUUUUGUUAGCGGGGCUGGAGUGAAUAUAUAAGAGAGGGAGGGGCAGGCAGCUUUGAGCUCUGGCUGUGGGCACUAGCCACAGGGAGCCAUAGGAGGUUAAAGAGGUUGUGGAAACAGUCACUACUUUUUUUUUUUUUUUAAGUUUAUUUCCUUUUUUUUUUUUAAGUUUAUUUAUUUUGAGAGUGAAAGAGAGAGAGCAGGACAGGGGCAGAAGGAGAGAGAGAAUCUUAAAUCUUAAUCUCUCAGUGCAGAGCCCAAUGCAGGGCUGGAACCCAUGAACUUUGAGAUGGGCUGCUUAACCGACUGAGCCAUCCAGGCGCUCCAACAGUCACUACUUUUGCAAGCAGAGGGAAAGCAGAGCUGGUGGGACCAGGAGGAAGCAGCAGCACUAAACCGUGAGAACAGACUCACUCUGGAAAUCUAGUCCAGCUGCUUCUAAAUAAACUACCAAGAGAAUUCUUUUUUUUAAUUCAGAUUCUUUAUUUUGGUGACAAUGUUUUAGUCUCUGUAUCUGUAUCCUAGAAGGAGGACCAUAGUUCCUCCUGAAUAAUAAUUUUUAGUGUCUGGAAUUCCCCAACAUCAUGAUUUUUCCCUAGUUCCCCAUCUUCCACCAUUCUCUUUAGCUUUUAUCCACCCUUCAGGGAAGAUGGCACUUUUCCCUGAUUGAGGGAUGACAGAACCUAUUUUCUUCUAUGCUUUUGCUACUCAAGGUGUGCUCUGAUUCCCAGCAGCAUCUAGCUUAGUAGAAAUUCAGACUGCCUGUCCCUUUCCUAUGACCACCGAGUCAGAGUCUGCAUUUAAGGGGAUUCCUGGUGAUUUGCAUACACAUUAAAAUUAAGGAAGGGCUGGUCUAUACCCUACUACAGACCUGACUCAUAAUUUACAACCACCAACGCCUACAGGAUCCUAUAUUCACUGACCCUGACCACUAGUCCAGUCUGAUCUCACACCACUCUAUGCUCAUUUGCUAAUCCCAGCCUCCAAGCUUUUGCAUUCCCUGUUCCCUCUGCCUGGAGUGCUCUUAUCCCCUCAGUACAGCUAACUCCUUUAUUUCAUUACUUCAUAUAGAGACCACUCUGUAUGAAGAACCACCCACAACCCAGCCACUGUCUAUCCCAUUGCUCUGUUUCAUACUUUUUAAUGGCACUUGUUAUCUGGAAUCAUUUUAUUAAUUCCUUUUUGGGUAUGUUUUGUGGAGAGUUUUAUUUUCAGUGCCCAAGGCACUGGCACAUUGAGGUGCUUAGAAAAUAUUUAUUGGAUCAGGAAUGAGAUUUUGGGGAUCAUGAACAGUGAAGAGCUGUGCCCAGAGAAUUAUAUGGUAAGAUCAGGAAUCCUCUGAACCAACUCAACAGCUAUCAGUCAAUUGGCCUAAGAUCAAUACUUUUGAGUCCCAGAAAGAAAGUUCACAAAGCCUAGUCUUCACACCAGUAGCAUUCCCACAGGGAAAUUCCUACAGGGAACUUGGUAGAAAGGCAAAUUCUUGGGCCCCACCCCAGACAUACUCACAAACUGAUUCAUAAACUUAAAGAUUACCUUAAAUUGUUAAGUCCAGCAACCUGUGUCUUAACAAGGCCUUUAGAUGUUUCUGAUGCAUUGCCCUAGACAAUAUCAACAUCUUACCUGUGUGGAGAACCCAUAGUGUUCAGAGCCCUUUCACAUACAUCACUAUGCUUCUAGACUUUAAAAAAAAGCCCUGGGAAGUAGGCAAGGCAGGUGUCAUUCCCAUUUCACAGAUGAGGAAACUGAGCCCUAAGAAAUGAUUCCAUUUGCUUAUGGUCAUAUAGUUUUAUCAGAGUCACCUGGGAUACCUAGGCCUAUUUCAGACCUACGGGAAUGAGAAUCAGUGAAGGUAGGGCUCUGAAAUCUGGAUUUAAAAAAGAAAUAAGCUUUCUAGGAGACUAUGAAGCUCCUAAAAGUUUGAGAACUAAUUAUGCUAGAGAAUAGACAAAUGAGAAUUAGAACUCAUAGCCCCUUGUUGCUGAUAUACUUCUCUUACAGGGUCUUGAGAAGAAUAAGCACAAAUGAUACUGAACUUUACUGAAAAGAGUUAAACCAAAGUCCCAAUAAUUCCAUAACUUUUAUUAGACUCUGACUCUAUUUAUUACUCUUCUGGAUUAUGAGAUAAAGCCCAUGCUGUCAACUCAGAGCUUGCUUGGGAUUCUCUCCCUCUCUCUCCCUCUCUCUCUCUCUCUCUCUCUCUCCCUCUCCUCCGCCCCCCCCCCCCCCCCCCCCCCCCCCCCCCCGAAAUAAAUAAAUAAACAAGCAUUUUUUUAAAAAGAUACUUUACCUGUUUGGUGUACUCCUGUAGUCCUUUACCAACUGUUGUACUUAAUUUCCUUUGCUUACAUCUUCUAGUUAAGAAGAAAAUUUUAGAAAAAUAAAGUCUUUAAAGCUAAAAGCUACAGUUGUUAAAGCAAUCAUUACAACCUCAGACAUCAUUUAUUUACCUGGCUAGCCUGGAAAAGAUUAACUUUUAAAAGGACUUCUCCAAACUGUCAGAUAACUCCCAAGUCUCUCCUGCUCAACCAACUCCCACAAACUCGAGACUCAUAAAUUCAACUGUAUGUGGAACAGUUCUCUUCUGAAUGUCCUGCAGAUAUCUUAAGUAUAUCCAAAACCAAAUUCAUUACUAAGCCACCCAUUCUUCCUCCUGGAUACACUCUAUAAGCUAAUAACUAUACCAUUCACUGCAUCAUACUGGCUAGAAAUCUAGGCAUUGUCUCUCGAUUCCUUCCUUCCUCACUCUGCAUAGCCAAUCACUCCUUUCAUUUUACUCCUUAGAUUUCUCUCUAGUCCCUGUCUUCCUCUUCAUCUCUACCACAGCUCUACCUCAGACCUUCAUCAUCUCUGCUUAGGCCCCUUUGAUUAAGCUUCUACCUGACUUCAUUUCCCACCGUUCCUUUCUUCAGUGCUGCUGAACUGCUUUCACUACUCAGUGAGGUUUUGUGCUUAGGUGCCUUUGCAAGUGCUACUGCUGCUCCACUGAUUUUUCUUUCCCCAUUUCUUGUGUAUGGCAAGCAUGUUUUUCAUGGUACUUCUCAAUGUUCUCUUCUAUAUGAAGUCUUCCCUGUGAACUCUUGUAGAGUGGACCAUUCCCUACUUUGUGCUCCCAAUCGAACAUCUAGUCUGCCUUCAUUAUAGUACCUCACUCACUAGGUUGCAUGACUGCUUAUACUUUUUUCUCCCUCAACAGAGCAUUAGCUCCUUGAAGAAAGGGAACAUGUCUUAUUAAUGUUUGAAUCCCCAUCUCCUAGCACAGAACAGGGUCCAUCAGAUAUACUCAAAAAUGCGUUCAGUGAAGACCUGGCUAGAUUUCUGAAUUCUAGAGAUGGUUGAGGAUAAGAGGGACUGAAAUGUAUUGACAACUAUUAUGUGUGAAGAGCUUAACACCUAUUAUGUAUCUAAUUUUUACCAAUACUAGUUUGAAGUAAAUAUUAUCUUAAUAAUAUACGUGUUGAAACUUACACUCAAAGUAAUUAAAUCACUUGCUUGAAGUCUCAGUUUGUAAGUGAUAGUGCUUGGAGUUGAAUUCAGGCUUUUCUAGUUCCAAACUCCAUGCCCCUCCAGCCAUCUCAUGUCACCUCUAGUCGUGCCUUAACAUAAGCCAUAGGUUUUAAAAUGACUUCAUGCUCUGUUUGCAAAAUGUUAAAACAUAUUAUCUCAAAGAAUAGUGGUGGGGCACCUGGGUGGCUCGGUUGGUUAAGUGUCCAACUCUUGAUUUCAGCUCAAGUCAUGAUCUCAUGGUUUGUGAGAUUGAGCCCUGCGGUAGGCUCCAUGCUUUGAGCAUGGAGCCUGCUUGGGGUUCUUGCUCCCCUUCUUUGCCCCUCCCCAGAGAUGCAUUCUCUCCCUCUCUCUCUCUCUCUCUCUCUCUGUGUGUGUGUCUGUCUCUCUCGAAAUAAAUAAAUAAAAGUUAAAAAAAAAAAAAAAGAGAGUAGUGGUGGGGCACCUGGGUGGCUCAGCUGAUUGAGUGUCCAACUUCAGCUCAGGUCAUGAUCUCAUGGUUUGUGGGUUCAAGCCCCACAUUGGGCUCACUGCUGUUCAUGUGGAGCCGGCUUCAGAUCCUCUGUCCCCUCCCCUCUCUGCCCCUCCCCUGCUCUCUCUCUCUCUCAAAAAAAAAAAAAAAAAGAGUGGUGGUGAUAUUAUGUGUAAUAGGCAGUCUCCAAAGAUGAUCCCUAAUGAGCCCUGCCCCCUGAUAUUCAUGCCCUUUUAUAGUUCUCCUCCCAUGUAUCUAGGCUUAUUCUGUGUAGGCAGUAGAAUCAAACAGAAGUUGGGGCAUAAGAAUCCUUGCAAUGUGCACUGAAAUGCUUGUUUCAGGGAAAGGCAGCUGCCAUGUAACAGAUCUGACUCCCUGGAACCACCAUGUUGUAAGAAGUCCAUCUUGUCCACAUAGAAAGAGACCUUUGACCAGCCCCCAACUUUGCCAGCCCACCUCAGGUACCAGACAUGUGAAUAAAGAGGCCCUCUUAGAGGUUCAGCCCCAGCCACCAUCUGAUUACACCUGCAUGAGGAGCCAAAUAUUAUUCUCUCUCACAGAAUCAUGACAAAUAAUAAUACAUUGUUCUCUGAAGCCACUCAGUCUUGUGGCAGUUUGUUAGGCAGCAAUAGGAAACUAAAACAUCAUGGCUUUUUUUUUUUUUUAAGAAAAUGAACCUAAUAUUUAUAAACACAGCUUAUUAAGCUUAUUUUUGUUUCCUUUUAUAUAAGUACAGUCUGCAAUAUAAGUAGAUUUCUAGCUCAGUCCUUAACAAGGUUUAUGACCUUGAGCAAGUCUCUUUAUAAAACUGUCACUGAGCUUCUCUUGCCUCAGUUCUAAAAUGAAGGGCUUUACUAGUUAAUCACUAAAGUCCAUUCUAGUUCCACAGUUGUAUCGUUCUCUUCAAACUAUCAGAGAAAAACUGAAUCCUUGUCUGACAAGUUUUAACUUGCAGUAAAAUUUUACAGGCACAAGAGUUUUCAGCAAAGCAACCAAUGCCAGAGAAGUGCUGACUCAGCACAAUGCUGUCUGUUAGCAGGAGAAAAACCCACUCAGGAGCAACUGUAAAUCUGAUCCUUUCAGCUCCUUCUCCCUGAAGCAAAAUUCAAAGAGAUGAUUAUCUGUAACAAAACACUUGAAAGAGGAUUCUCAACUUCUUCUUAAAAAUCUGUCACUGAAGUCUGUGGGUGACUUCAGAUCUUUUGGUGGACUAUUCAGCACUGCAUGGUUGAAUCAGUCUCCGGAAGAUCCCUACACACAAAUGCUAAGUUUAGGGCAAGUGGACUGAGUGAUUCCUAGAGGAAAUAAACUCUCGCCUGAGAACAACAGCUGAAGUAAAAUCCCAUAAGCCAGGAAAACAGUCACACAAUCACAGUAACAGGUGGUCAGUUUCAAAACAAAUUUCAAGGUCUGACUUGUGUGGCACCUGCUCUAGAACCACAGACAGCAGUGUAACUCUGUCUGGGUUUGAGUUAGGUCAUCCCUGCCACACUAAAGGAAGAUUAACUACCUUUAUUAGCUGAGCUAAGGCAUGGUAGGUUAGGUGACCGUCUCUGUAGUAACCCUUGGGUUCCCUGUCAGAAAGGACGAGGGAAUGAGAGAAUUUGGGAAUCAGAAGGGAACGUGGCGAUUGGCUAGUUUGAUGCCCUUGGUAGCUGAGCGAAGUGAAGCCCAGACAGGUACAGAUUUGCUCAAGGUCACAUGACCUAUGGAAGCAGACCCCUCCACCCCCAAUUUUAUUAGGAAAAAUUUCAAAUACACAGCAAAGAAUAUUCGCAGGGAACACCAUUACCUAGAUUCUACUGUUACCAUUUCAUUAAACUUGUUUAUCACAUAUCUAUCUAUCUAACCAUCCUUUGAUCCUUCUACCUUAUUUUUUGGAUGCAUUUCAAAGUGAAUUGCAGACAUCUAUACUCUUUCCCUUAAAGCAGCAUUAUGUUUUAUCAUUAUUUGUCUAAUUGUUUGAUACUUCAGUUUUCUUUAUGUUAUGAAACCAGCCAAAAUUAGAAAAAAAAAUCACUGGACACAACGUAAGUUAGCAUUAGCUAGCUUGAAACACAACCCAACAUCCUAACUCCAGGGCCCUUCAGGAUUCUUCCUAAGAGCAAAUUCUAGAGGAGACAGAAAUACUGAUCAGUAUACAACACUGCAUAUGCUGCUGCUCCUACCUAGAAUCCUGCUUUUGCCUGUUCCCCCAGGAAUGACCUCACAUGUCUGCAAGUAACGGAGGCUACUGUUAUAAAUGUAGUCCUGUUUUAGGAGGAAACAGUUAUUUAAAAAAAUCUGAAAUGCCACCUCAUUCCCAAUGCCUUUCCUGAACCCUGAGUUUUGAGCUUUCUCAUUUGAACCCUCACACACCUCCCUUGCCACUUUUCCUGCUUCAUUCAACCCUUUUACAAUUUAGUAUGUCUUUGUUUAUCUAUCACUGGUACUGGUACUGCUACUGCUAUUACUAUGGUUUUAUUCCUCUGUGUGAGGGACCAUACCUUAAGACAUAUUUCUGAAAAAAAAAAAAAAAAAAGACAUAUUUCUGUAUUUCCUGAAGCUCCUUACAUAGAGUCAAUGUUGAAUAUUAACUGACUUCAAACUUCAAAUCAGGGGUGCCUAAGUGGCUUAGUCAGUUAAUUACCUGACUCUUGAUUUUGGCUCAGGUCAUGAUCUCAAGGUUUAUGAGAUCAAGCCCUGGUGGGGCUCUGCACUAAUGGCACAGAGCCUGCUUGGGAUUCUCUCUCUCCCUCUCUCUCUCUUCCCCUCCUGUGCUCAUUCGCUCUCUCUCAAAAUAAGUAAAAAAACUUUUAAAAAUUAAAAAAAAUUCAAACCAAUGUUUGGGCAGUUUUGUGAAAAUUAGAUCUUAAGGACCUGAGGGAUUUGUUUAAGUGCAGAUUUUUGGACCUCCUACUCUCAGAAAUGCUGACUCAGUAGGUUUGAGGUGGGGUCCAGGAAGCUGCAUGCAGUUUUAGCAAGUACCCCUGGUGAUUUCAAUGCAGGUAGCACAGAGAUUAUUCUUGGAGAAAUCUGCUCACAGGUACGAAUUACCACUGGCUUUAUCCAUUUUUAAACCAACAGGCCCAAUCUACCCGUUUCUUUGCUGGAUCCGGGGAUAAAGGUGUGGCUGCCACCGUGGGAUGUGACAGUCACGGCAUCAUCCCUCACCACAUCAUGUGCUGUCAGUCACCACUUCUGCUGUUGCCACCAGCCCCCGAGUUUCCCUUUGUCACUUCCCCCUUGCCACCACCAACUGCCACUACCUCUCUUGCCCCUCACCCUCCAAGGCUGAGUCAGAUCCACUGCGGAGCACUUGAGGAAACACAUUUUGGAAGACAGGAUGAGGGUGUUCACAUUCUACAUUCACAGCCUCAUGUCAGGGAGAAAAGGAACACCUAUUUCUGACCAUGGCUUCUUCAGAAGUUCUGCAAACCUGGUUAGAAAGUUGGGCCCGUGGUUUGGAGUUCCUGCUGCCUUUGAUUUUACAAUGAGUGGAAACCGAAAUUGAGUAACAGACCUCUUGCCCAAGCAUUAAGGGCCACCACAAAGCAUAGAGCAAUCAAUGGGACAGGAGCUCAUAAGAUGCAGUCACUCCCUCCUCCAAGCCCAGUGUUUCUGUGCAGGGAAUGACAAUUGCACUUAUCUCCAGUGUCUGGUAUUAACAGUACUUUUUAUAUAUGCUGAAAUUUACUUUUCAGGUGCCCAAAGGAUAGUAGUAAGAAAAACUAUGGACCAGAGAGUUGUUUCAUGAAGCAUAAACUGAAAUAUGUUUUGAGUUGAAUAUACUUGAAAUCAUUUUCUUUAAGACAUUCACAGCAUUGUCUUUUUUAGUUCAACGUAUUUCUUUAUUGUGGUAGUUCCCAAACUUCAACAGGCAUCAGAUUCAUCUGAAGGGCUGGAUCUCACUCACAGACUUUCUGAUUCUCUAGGUUUGGGAGGGGCCAAGAAUUUGCAUUUCUAACAACUUGCUAGAUGAUGCCAAUUCUGCUGAUCUGGAGAUCAUGCUUUGGGAAGCACUGCUCUAAGAGAAAAUAAAAUGGUGCUACUUAGGCUGUUCGCUGAUCUGCCUGCCUUGUCUUCUUAUAUCACAAUGGCUCAUAGCAGUGAUUCUUAGCCCUAGCUGCCCAUUAGAAUUAUCUGUGAAGCCUUUUAAACAUAAAGUCUGGGUAGCAUGCUCAGACCCUACCUUAGACCCAAAUAAAUCUGUAGCUCUGGGAUUGGGCCUGACAAUUUUUGAAAAAGAUCCCUGGAUAAUUCAAAUGGGCAUCCAUGAUUGAGAACCACAGGCAUAUAGCAAAUUCUGACCUUGUUCUGUGUUAACAUAUGAUUCUUAUUUGACAAAUAUUUAUUGACCACUCAAUACAUGUGGUAAAAAAUGACAAAGUAUCUAAGAAAUGGUCCCUGACCUCAAGCAGAGAUAGAUCACAUACCCAAACAUUUAAACAAAAAGCUGGUGUGUGGUGAGUGCCAAUUAGAAGAAUAAACCAUUACUGAAAACCGAAGGCUAGAUGAUCCAAGGUAAAUCAAUGCUGUACUAGAGCCUCACAUUGUUUGCGAUAAGUUAUGUAUGCCUUUGCCACACAGGAAACAUAUUCCUUUGGUGGGGGAAAUUGCUCAUUUAUUGGUUCAUUGAGGAUGCUCCAACUGAUUCACCAUGGUAGGUGUGAUUGAACCAUGGAAUUGAUAGAACAUUAAAUCAAUAGCUAGUCAGCUGGCAACUAUUCCUCUGCUAAGUAUGCUAUUAAGGUUCCAUUUCACAAACCCUGUGCUCAACAGAAGUGAAGAUUUUCAGUGGAGAAAUAAAACAAGAAUUAUGUUUAGAAACCACUUCAAUCUGGAAUUUUAAGUAAACAUUUCUUAAAUGUAUAGAAAAAAUACUUGAAUUUAUUUGUGAAUUAAAAGCUAAGGAUCUUAAAAACUGUGCACCUAUUUACAUCCACUGGAAUACAAAAUAAUUUAAUGAUUCAGUGAUAGCUGGCCCAUGAAGGGAGAGUUUAUAGAAAUGAGAUAAUAUCCUCUUCGGAUAUUACUUAUGUAUUAAUGGCAUUAUUUAAUUCAUUGUGCUCUUUAAUUCAGUUACUUUUUUUGAAAUCUUCUUUUCAUGUGGGGGACUUUUCCCAAGAAUAAGAGAUCCCAAGGACAACAAAAAGAUAAUUGUUUUCAAGAAAAGGAAAUAAAUACUUUUUAAACUGUUACAUUUAUUUCCAUUAAAAAACACUGGAGGCAGCAUUUUAGGCAUUGUGGGAGAUAACAUGAAUAUGACAAAAUAACUGGCUCUCAAGGAAACUUAUAACCUAGUAGAAGGGAAAGAUAAGUACCUAUUUGAAGCAAAAUAUGAUACAUGCCUUCAGAGAAGAAUAAAUUUUAAUGAGGCUUCAAAGAGCUGGAAGAAAAGGAGGUCAGGGUUCAAAGAGCCUAAGAUAAGGCGUAGAACUGGGCUGCUGGUGCAAUGCAUUACUGCACGGCCAAUUUUCAAAGGCCAGCUGUUCCCAGUCAAACGAAGACAGAAGAUGAGGGUGGAUGCAAUCAAUGGGAAAAUCAGGCCACCCUCCCUUAUUUUCCUGGCAAUGUAGUUUCAAGAUCAAUAGUUUUACAAUCUCAUUUCAGGAAGCAGAUGAAAAUGAAUCUGAUGCAUUUUCUUUAGUUCACUUCUUACUAACAAAAUCCAAUUUAAAGGAUUUUAUAUGUUGGCUAUAUGGCCACUAAUAUUUAAUAAAAAUGUCUAACCUCAUUAGUAUAAUCAAAGAAAUGAAAAUUAGAAUAGGAAUACAAUGGCUGUUUUUGGCUGAUCAAAUUGACAAUGAUUUUAUUUAUUUUUUAUUAUUUUUUAACGUUUAUUUAUUUUGAAAGGGAGAGAGAGUGCUUGUGUGCAGGAGGGGCAGAGAGAGAGGGAGAGAGAAUCCCAAAGGGCUCUGCACUGAUAGCAGGGAGCCUGAUGUGGGGAUCAAACUCACAAACCACGAGAUCAUGACCUGAGUUGAAAUCAAGAGUCAGAUGCUUAACCAAUUGAGCCACCAGGUGCCCCUCAUAUUGACAUAGAUUUUAGAUGACUACCAAAUGUUGGGGCCUCCUCCUCCUGCCUGUAGAGUGCUCUUGGUUCUGCCUUGUUUGCCACAACUGGAGGACAACCCAUAUUCUACAGUUAUCAAUUCUAGGAAUAUAUUCUAAGGAAAUAGUAUAUAUAUGUGCAAAUACUCAUGUAUGAAAAUAUUCCUCAGUGCUUUGUUGAUUAUUGGGAAAAAUCAGUAAAGCAAUAGGCCCAACAAUAGGUUAAUGAAUAUAAAAUGUAUUAGGCUAGGAAAGGAACAGUAGUGGUGCACUCACCUGGAAACCUAGAAACCGUGGUCUAUAAAAAAAAUCUUCCUGACUGUUUUAGGUAAGUCAGUCCCUUCUACCCAAGAUCAAUCCCCUUCUCUUCAUUAUCCCCUCUUCAGAUAUUCUGUAUUCCUCCAAAUAAGACUAGGUGCUUUAUGUGCCCUGAAUUGGUCCUCUACAUUUUUUCUGCCUCCUUGCCAUUGCUCAUGCCUUUCUCUGUGUCUGAAUGCCUUUCUUUAAUCUCUGAGGUCUCACAUCUUCAAGACCCAGUUUUGUAAGCCCCCUACGUGAUGCGAUAAUGAUAUUCCCCUACAUCAGCUAGACAGAAGGGUUUAUUCUCUUCUUGUACCAUCAGAGCAAUUUGGUUAUCUUCUAUGGCCCUUUUCACCCUCUGUACUAUAUUAGAAUGAUCUGAAUAUAUAUACUUUAUUUUCUCUAUUAGAUUUUGAACUAACUGAAGAUAAGGGCCAAUCUUGCUCAGAUUUAUAUCCCCUCAUAGUUCUAAAGCAUGUUGGGUAUGGUUGUUGAAUGAGGGAAUGAGUGAGUAAAUGCUACAAAAAUGCACUUGAAGCCAAAUUCUAAUGUUCUCCAUAGACAUAGGAUGAACUUGACUAGUGCUGAAGAUGCUCUUUGGUGCCUCCAUUUUGUAUGGUAUGGGGCCUGAAACCUUCCAUCUGAGCCAUGGUGAUGAGAACAGUGAAGACCAGGACUGAGGAGGAGUGGUCUGAGGGGGGAGGCCAGGAUGAUGAACCAAAACUACAAUUGUCCCCCAUCCUUACCUCCUCCCCUACCCAAUUAUUGGAAGAGCAAUAGGUUAGAAUUUUAACAACGAGGGAAAACUGAUGAAGACUUUUGCAAAGGAAAGUAAGCACUUCUGAUCAGUUAUCAGUUCUUUGACCAUCCCAAUAACAUAUGUGUUUUAAUCAGUAGGUCUUAAAAACAGAACAUUUGUCAACAAAAUGAAGAGAAGAGAUUAGCAGAUAAUUGAGGGGCAAAAUACAAAUGAAGUGUUUUCAAUGGGGAAGAAGGGACUUUGAAAGACUUUUAAUGAUGCACAUUGAUUUAUACAUUCCCAGAUUCAAUAGGCAGCAUAAAUGCCAUUCAUGUUGAUGGUGCAAAUGCCUUGAUGCUAUCAGUAAGGAAGUUAAUAAGCUGAGCAGCUGAACUACUAUUCAAAAUAGUGAAGCUUAAGUCUUGCUAAGGCAUUUUCUAUCCCCACCUGGUAUAACCUACAUGUCCUAUUAUACUUAGCAAUACACCUGCUGGCUUUUGUGGGCCUUCAGGAAAUGCCUUUACUUCCUGAAGAAUGCAACAAACUACAACACAAACACCACCAUGGCCAGCUGACACUAGACUGUAAACUGUAGUUACCUCUCUAAAAGGAUUAGGUGCUUGGGUGAUUAGUAUUUGUAGAUUGUGCAAUGGCCAAGUUCACAAAGGAAGUUCUUACAUUAAAAAAAAAAAAAUAUAUAUAUAUAUAUAUGCUAAUCCACAUAGUAUGGAUUCUAUAUAUGUCUUAUGAAUCCAUGUAUAUGUGUAUGUAUGCAUUUAUAAUUUUGGUGAGGGGCGUUACUUGUUUUCUCAUAAAGCUCCCUAGCGUGACAAAAUUAAACCUCACUGGAAUGGACUAUUUUUAUCAGUAAACAAAAACAAAAACUGCUUUUCACCAGACAAAGCUUCGGUCCCUCUGUCAAGCAACAGUGAUUUACCGAGCUAACAUGUGAGCAAAUGGGAAAUACUAUAUUUCCAGACUUGGGUAAUGAAUAACCUCUGAGGGCUUGAACUUUUCUCCGUUCCCACAGACUGCAUCCACAGAGCGGUGCUCUUGCCCUGAAAGGAAGGAUUUACUCCGGUUUGGAAGGAAGUGGAAUAAAUAGAACUGGAAGUGGCAAGGUCACCUUUAAUAUCAUAUGAACUGCCUCUUAACAAGCUUCACAAUUGCUUUGUUUCUUCCUCCCUGGGUUCUAUAAACAGGCAAAGUCAAAGCAAACUCCUAGAGCACACAGUGCGUGGAGGAAGCUCCCAGAGUGGUGAGGAAGGGGAGGCUGCAGGCUCCAUGGGGCCCAUCCCGCACGCCAGGGUUACAAUUGUGUUAUGGUGUGGUGGCCAGAAGGGAAAACUGCUUGUUUUUAAAGGAAGGAGUUAUAUUGUCCUAAAUUCCUGUGUAUAAAAUAUAGGACAAACAAGUUAGAGUGGGCAUAUUGGAGUAUGUGGAAUAUAUGGCAUAUUUGCCUUUCACUGGUCUUUUCCCUAUUAACUUUAAUUAUCACAUGGUGAGUGCAUAAAUACAAAAAUGUUAUUUUAAAAACGCUCUUCUCUAGGACCCUGUUCAGUUGGUAUUCCAAACACCAUGCAAGCUCUUUACUGGCAUUCUGCUUCAUAGAGUUUUCUUCUUUUCCAAGGUCCUUCAGCUACAUGCAGUUGGGCUUCCCUCUUUCUCUGUAGUUUUUCAUUUCUUUUUAAUGUCUCCUUACCGAGGAGAGGAAAGAAUAUCUAGUAUGGAAAAGGCACUAACCAUGUUGGGAUGCCAGAGGGUUGGGCAACAGACAGGACUGGAAUUUUGGUGUCCUGACUCUUAGUAAUUCUUAGGUAGUCCAAUGUGUAAGUCAUCUUGGAAGACAAUGUGAAUGAGUAGUACUGUCAUUAUCAAAGCAAAACAAUAAUUCAGAUUGGGCUUUGAGUCUAAGGUAACUUGGCAUGGCUUAAAUACAGAUUGUCAACGAAAGCAUGAACCAAACAAAACUGAGUUGGUACUUUGUAAAUUGUUACUUACCCCCUGUAUGGACUCCCCACAUUUGGCGAAGGUGUGUAGGAAAAUCUCCCUUAUAUUUCGAAAGUGCAGUAAAGCUAUGGAGUGGUGUAACUUCAAAAAAGUGUGAUUAAAAGAAUAUAAGAAAGAUACAAUAAGAGUCUCUAAGGGGUAGAAAGAGGGCAGUCUCUGUCUAAUCUGAAUUUUGGCCAUUUCUUUACACUUUCAAGAUAAUAUGAGUUCUUGGCAUUACAGAUAACGGGUCAGAGCUGAGCUGUUGUGGAAACUGCUAGAUGGAGCUAGAGCUGUUAUGUGGCCAAAUAUUUUGAUCUGUGGAUAACAUGCAAUAUUGAGAGAUUCUGAUCUCUGUUAAGUGUCCUAAAUUGUCUACAGAGCAGAGCAAACAUUGAGGCAUCAGCCUAGACAUUCUAACAAAUGUGCUCUACUAAAAUGCUAUGCUUGAAUGGACUUGACCAGGCUAAUCAACCUCUAAAGUGCAUCCUGCAUUAUAAUAGCUAUAAGACAAUCCCCGCUCNNNNNNNNNNNNNNNNNNNNNNNNNNNNNNNNNNNNNNNNNNNNNNNNNNNNNNNNNNNNNNNNNNNNNNNNNNNNNNNNNNNNNNNNNNNNNNNNNNNNNNNNNNNNNNNNNNNNNNNNNNNNNNNNNNNNNNNNNNNNNNNACCCCCCACCGCGUGCUUGUAAGAGGGGUGGGGUGGGGAAAGGGCGAGCUCUUCCUUUGUCCUCUGACCACCUAGAACAGCAUGGCUAAUUGCUUUGUCUAUCAUUAAGAAUCUUCAGUAUAUAGUGAGGUUGGAUGUGUGCACAUACAUACAUGCAUGCUCACAUUUACCUCAUAUCUUCACGUUUUUCACCUUUUCUAAAAUAUAGCAGCAAUGAAUCCAGACUGAAACUUGCCACACCUUUCAAUCCAACAACUCUUUUCCCUGAGGACAGUAGGGCAUCAUCCAAAUGUAGCAGCUGGGGAGUUGUGCUGUUAUUUCUUUUCAGAUGACAAAAUAGCAACACGCUUUAAUGAUGAUGAAACCCAGUUCUAUUUUUUUCUUUUCCCUUGUAGUUCUUUUCGUAGCAGGAAUCUGACACCGUUUACUCUUUGGGCAGUAAGUCCCCCAAGUCUGAACUAUGUGAUUGCAUGAGCCCUGCACCUUAUUCAUUAAGACUGCCCCCUUUGAAACGGAAUUGAUGAGUUUUCAGUGACCAUUCGUAGCAUUUGAGAUCCAUAGGCAUCAGGGCUUGAUGCAUGGCCCUCAUCUCCGUGAGCUUCUGUGCAAUGAUUCUCAUCUGUCUUGGUUAGAAAGUGAAUUAAUCUUGACCUUGGCCUCUGGGGUGUGGUUCUCUGUCCUCUCACACAUCUUCAACUCACUUUUUUAUCAGAGGCACUUCUUGUUUCAGGCCCAGGCUCCCCCCAUUUCAAUUUCAGCCUUUUGUCUUUAAACUACAUUGCUUUGAUUUUAACCAAAAUCUCUAUUUCUGGUAUUGUAUAUUAUAUUUCUAGAAAGUUCUCAUUCUUUAUAACUUAAUUAUGUGGAUCAUUAAAGCUUUGAAGGAUACUAAAGGGCAGAAAGAGAUUGACAAAAUACAAGUUAUUAUUAGGAAUUACAAAUCACUUAGCAUUUCAACAUCACUCGUCGGAUGUGGGCAUUUUGUUGAAAGAGACCUUGUUUUGAACAAUGACAGUGCAGAAGACCUUUGGAAGAAAGAGACUUCUAACCAGAUUUCUAUUGUUACAGCAUGCAUAGGAAAUUAUCACUUAUAUUUUGUUUCAAUAAGAUAAUAGAUUUAGAAAUACUACCAGCAGAAAACUUGAUGUAUUAGUGCUGUACCACCCCAGUCCAACGACUCAACUGUACUUAUUUCCAUCCAUACUUUCUGUGGAUGUAAAUGAUAUUUGUAUUUCACAAUGGAAGUAAAA